CAAGUCCACGAUACCCAGCUAGCGUUCGCUCGAGGAAAAAACACAACCGACGGAAACCCUAGCCACCCACGCUGCCUAGCUCCCCUCCGCCGUCCCAUUCCUCGCCUCCCCUCCGCCGCCCCUUCGCUUCCUCCUCUCUGCCACGUCCAGCUCCCCAUGAACAGGACCGAGAGGAUGUAGCCCUUCCUCACCGGCGCUCGGUCCGCAGAUGCGACGCGCGAGAGUGAAGGAUGAGCGGCAGUGGCCCACUCCCUCCUCUUCGCUGCCGCCCUCCCUCCCCUGGCCAUCGCCUCUCUUUCCCCACACCGCUUCCUCUCAUUCUCCCAGCGGGCUCGUUUCUCCUCUGUGGACGAAAUCCAUGGGAAUCACGAUCGACAGCGUGGAGGAUGCGGCAGUGGCAUGGGAAGUCAACGGCGCCGACGAGGAUGGAGACAGAAAAUCAGUGGUUCGGUUUGCAUCUUAUAUUUGUCAUGUGGCCGACGUACUGGGCUCCAGCGCCGUCGUUGGAGGCGAGGGCCAUCGUGGGCGUGCAGACUGCGCACAGCUUUGCCUCGCAUGGAUGUCACUGCUUCGACUGCCACCCAAACGUGUAUGCCAAGAAACAUCCAUCGGAAUAUAUUAAGUACUUCCAUUUGUAUAGAUAUAAAGUGAAAAAUCCAUAUAUUGUGAAGAACAUUGGGUUUAUUGGAUUACCCUUCUUUCAGAACUAAAUGGCCCCUGCCGAAGGAAUGUACUGAUGAUGACUCUACCGCCUAAAUUUACCAAGUAUACUGCUAUGAUGCCCUGCGGUAUUUUAUCUAUGAAGUCAGAUGGGUUCAGUUACUUGAUAUUGCUUGAGGAGAUCAAUAGUCUGUAGAAUAUUAGUUGCUUGAGGAGAUCAAUAGUCUGUGGGAUAUCAAUUGCUUGAGGAGAUCAAUAGUCUGUGGGAUAUCAGUUGAACGUAAACUCGCUAUCGCUGCCUACAAACCAUAACCCACUUAAUCACACUUCGUAUCAUAGGUAUGCGAUGUUGCGUCCUCUUCAUUGUUCUAUUGGUAAAGAGUUUUCGUUUCCUUCCCCGUUGUGUUCUCAGUCUGCUGAUCCAGAGGGACUUAUGUUAAACAUUUCGUUUCUGUACUUGGCACACAAUGCACUCAAUACUAUAGGCUUCUUGAAGGACAAUCUCCGAGAGUUCUUUUAUUCGGUUUGGUUGUCAGAGUUUAUUCAAGAGCCAACAAGCAAGAAAAAAGUUGGAAUGAACAAUCUACAGGGGCAAGUACAUCACCAUAUUAAUCUGUUUUCUUACUGGAUGAUGAGUACAAUUUAGUUCUUGUUUGUGGAAAGCAUACUGAUGAUGAUGGUUCAGGUAAAGAUAUGAUGCAAAAGCAUCGCCGGUAAGUCUUAUUCAGUGGUAUCAUUACAUCUGUCGGUAAAAAACUAAGAACAUGUCUAAAUUAUUAGGCUCGCUUGCUCUAUCAGGCCUGUACUUGUCAAACUUUCUUUUAGGUGACAUUAUUAUUUGAACUAUUUCAUGCCACACGAGGUUCCUUAAUAAAAUUCUGUGAAGUUUUCCUUCCUUGAGGCUACAAUCAUUUAAAUUCAUACUUAUUGUGAGCUGCAGGAAUCAGCUUGCACAAUUUUCCCGAUGGAAUGGUGGUGUUUCUUGGGUCUGUGAAGGGUGUUCGCGUGGGAAUUAACUUGCUUCUGCUCUUGCCUUACAUAAUAUACCUGAUGUGAUGAAAUCAACCCAUCAGCCUUUCUGGUUAAGUAACCUGACUAUUCUUAUCUGAAGCAAACCAAUCCAUGUGAGCACAAGAGGUGAAAGCUUACUAGGAGCUUGAUUCACGUCGAAUAGUUGAUAGAUAUCUCAAACCAAGCUGAAUGAGAAGAAGUAAGUGCAAGCUGUGUUACUUCUUCUGUUUUCUUGUUGCACUUUGGCUCGCAAUAGAAAGAUAAAUCAUGGUGACUGAUAUUACAUUCAGUGGUUGUUAAUUUCUUCUGUCUUAAUUUACCGAGGCAAACAGUUUUGCAUGUCCAAUGCGUGAACCAGAAACUGCAAGAACCAGAAAUCAGCUGUUUACAUAAAUAUGAUGGCUAUCUAGGUGAACCACUUCGUGCUUCAUGUGCACAUUAGUUCAAAGAAUCAAAUUUCAUUCAAGGCAAGCUACACAGGUGGAAAAGCAAUUGGCUGAAAACUCUCUCUGAUGUUUGAGAAGCAAACUCUUGCAAAUAGCUCAGUGGACAAGAGCUAUAUCAAACUGUUGAUGACAGAAUUCUGUAUUUGCUUUAUUGUGGAGUUACCAAGUGAUGCCUUGAUUGGGCUGCCAUUGUACGGCGAGGAGGCGCCCCCCCAAGCAUUAGUCAAGAAUUAAAUCAUGCGACAUGAAUCACGCUACAAAGGAAAAAAUCAAUCUCACAUAAAUGACCAGGUAUCACGCUCCAAAGGUAUGUAAUCUCACAAUAACGCUAACACAAUUAAAUCAAUUAAAUGAGAACCUGGGGCGAGAUAUAUGCAGUCACAAAGGUACGUAAUCUCACCCCAGACAUUAGGCAGGUAUCAUCUCAUGCAAAAGAUAUGUAAUCUCAUCAAGGCUAAAAUGACGCAAUCUCAUCACUGUCAAUUAAAGGGGACCCUGAAUUGCACCCAGGAUGCAGUCAUAUCUCUACUACUAAAGCAGGACCUGCAAUCUUCAAACUACCUGGUACAGGCCAUCUUCAGAUGAUCGUCCGUGCAUGUCGCUGCUGCAGACAAGCCGCCAAGAUCUACCGGUACACUGCAGGUACAAGCCAUAAUAAGAAUUUCCUUCAAGAUGUGAUAUCUUCGUGAUCUAAAGUUGUUCAUCAUCAAGGGCGGUGAGAGGUACACGCCAUCUUCGGAGGAUUAUCCACGCCCGUCCCUGUUGCAGCGCUGCCCGGCCGCCGAGAUCCACUGGUGCUGUCGGUGCGUACGGCGGCCAUGGCGGCCAUGGCUUCCAUGGCGUCGAAGGCUGAUGACCAGGCUGGAGGCGAGUAAUGCCUAUGUAUGUAUUGAAGAUUCUGGCUCCAAAGCGAGGAGAAAUUGUUAGUCAGAUUGGUGAUGCACAGAGAGCGAAACUUCAUCAUCAUGGCAGACUUCUAUCACUUAAGUAAUAACAAGAAGCCUGAGAUAGUGAUCUUUUCUAGAAUAGGCGAUUAUGUUCCUGUUUAUAACAUUAUUCGUAUUAAUUAGCAAUUACAUUGUCAUCAGUAUUUUUCAACUGUUUUUUCGGCUGGCAACAACUUAGCCAAAGAGAAGGGCUUGUGAACUCCCGGAAAGAUUGAACUAUCAAAGUGGCCAAUUUUCGAAGCUAUUUUUACUAGCAUACAAAGUAGGCAAAUAACACAGGUAAAUUCAGGCCUUCAGUGUUGCCACUUGCUGAUUUUUGGGAUAAUUGGGUUUCGUAAAGUGUUGCUUCACUAGCCUGUUUUAUGCAUAGUUGUAAUGUUUUAAUGAAUUUUGAUCCAUGAAAAGGGCCGAAGGCUGUUGCUUGGAAAUAAAGAAGAA
Lolium perenne is the source of this 3502-nucleotide non-coding RNA. The record is from RefSeq and is a predicted model, not a curated record. Lineage: Eukaryota; Viridiplantae; Streptophyta; Magnoliopsida; Poales; Poaceae.